AAACUACGCCUACAUGAAGCUGGAAUUGCUAGUAAUCACAGGUCAGCAUACUGUGGUGAAUACGUUCCCGGGCCCUGUACACACCGCCCGUCACACCAUGAGAGUUGAGAAUACCCGAAGCCCAUGUCAAAGUGGUCGAAGGUAGGCUUGAUGAUUGGGGUGAAGUCGUAACAAGGUACC
RNAcentral lists this ribosomal RNA (180 nucleotides) under uncultured bacterium. RNAcentral describes it as "partial 16S ribosomal RNA". It matches the Rfam family "Bacterial small subunit ribosomal RNA", at positions 1307 to 1500 of the family's 1533-position model. The record is from RNAcentral.